RNAcentral lists this unclassified non-coding RNA (287 nucleotides) under Hevea brasiliensis (rubber tree). The record is from RNAcentral. Lineage: Eukaryota; Viridiplantae; Streptophyta; Magnoliopsida; Malpighiales; Euphorbiaceae.
CGGGGAGCAGGCGGAUCGGUGCAGCAGGGAUAUUAGGCGGGCGAGGACGGUCGUAUUGCAGAGGAUUAUCAGGCAUCCAUAGUGAUGGUGGUGAUUCUGAACCUUAUCAGAUACUACAGCAAAGAGAAUAGACCUGACUAUGGGUUUGCGGACUAAUAAUCUGGCGAAACCGGGACCUACCUACAAAUGUUCAAGAGUCUUUAACAGUAAGGGGAACAGCCAGAAGACCCCAUUUGUAUAACUUAAUGAUCUUAUAUGAAUUUCCCUUCAGGCUCUGUCCAAAUUAG